This 482-nucleotide ribosomal RNA is filed under the name uncultured bacterium. Its description in RNAcentral is "partial 16S ribosomal RNA". It matches the Rfam family "Bacterial small subunit ribosomal RNA", at positions 28 to 507 of the family's 1533-position model. The record is from RNAcentral.
GAUGAACGCUGGCGGCGUGCCUAAUACAUGCAAGUCGAACGCUUCACUUCGGUGAAGAGUGGCGAACGGGUGAGUAAUACAUAAGUAACCUGGCAUCUACAGGGGGAUAACUGAUGGAAACGUCAGCUAAGACCGCAUAGGUGUAGAGAUCGCAUGAACUCUAUAUGAAAAGUGCUACGGGACUGGUAGAUGAUGGACUUAUGGCGCAUUAGCUUGUUGGUAGGGUAACGGCCUACCAAGGCGACGAUGCGUAGCCGACCUGAGAGGGUGACCGGCCACACUGGGACUGAGACGCGGCCCAGACUCCUACGGGAGGCAGCAGUAGGGAAUUUUCGGCAAUGGGGGAAACCCUGACCGAGCAACGCCGCGUGAAGGAAGAAGUAAUUCGGUAUGUAAACUUCUGUCAUAGAGGAAGAACGGUGGAUAUAGGGAAUGAUAUCCAAGUGACGGUACUCUAUAAGAAAGCCACGGCUAACUACGUG